ACCCAAGUGAGUCCAAACCGGUGAUGCCUGACGCAUCAGCACCAACUGCUCCCCAUGGUCCACCGAUUGGUUCAGGCAUCAGACCAGUGCUUACAUCAUCCUCAGUUUUAAACCAAUUACAUUGUUCGGUCUUUUGACUAAAUGCUAAGAAUUUAGCUUGGUCUUACCGAAUUGUAUGACACAACAAUUUGACCUCAAUGAGAAGAUGUGAGG
Long non-coding RNA from Helianthus annuus (common sunflower), 213 nucleotides. RefSeq lists it as uncharacterized. The transcript is spliced from 2 exons. The record is from RefSeq and is a predicted model, not a curated record. NCBI's taxonomy places the organism in Eukaryota, Viridiplantae, Streptophyta, Magnoliopsida, Asterales, Asteraceae.